GGGGAUUAGCUCAGCGGAUAGAGCAACGGUUUUCUAAACCGUCGGUCGCAGGUUCGAAUCCUGCAUCC
Molecule: transfer RNA, 68 nt
Filed under: human gut metagenome
Also listed under: 1 other name
Rfam family: tRNA
About the family: Transfer RNA (tRNA) molecules are approximately 80 nucleotides in length. Their secondary structure includes four short double-helical elements and three loops (D, anti-codon, and T loops).
Source: RNAcentral